Molecule: long non-coding RNA, 755 nt
Filed under: Pongo abelii (Sumatran orangutan)
Lineage: Eukaryota; Metazoa; Chordata; Mammalia; Primates; Hominidae
Description: lincRNA
Rfam family: mir-22 microRNA precursor family (bases 194-277)
Source: RNAcentral
AGAAGAGACAGCGCCGCCGGCCGUGGGGAGCGGACGCAGCGAUUUGCUCCCCUUCGCGCAGCAACCCCCACACCCAGCACCAGGCCCCCAGAACUCUCCUUCCAGCUGAACUCUCUGAGAACAAGUCAGUUGGGCUGAUCACUGAACUCACAUUUCUGGACCUGAGGAGCCUGUUCCUCUCACACCCUCACCUGGCUGAGCCGCAGUAGUUCUUCAGUGGCAAGCUUUAUGUCCUGACCCAGCUAAAGCUGCCAGUUGAAGAACUGUUGCCCUCUGCCCCUGGCUUCGAGGAGGAGGAGGAGCUGCUUUCCCCAUCAUCUGGAAGGCUUUCUGCCUCCGAGAUGUGGCACCAUAGUGCAGUGCCCUGUGGCUUCACCGCCCUACUUCCACCUCCGCCCAGCCUGUAAUGUUUAUAAAAGCAGCCUCAAGGACCAAGAACCAUCUGCGAAAGGACACACACAGGAAAUUCAUAAAAGAAAUCUGAAUGGAUAAAACCAUGAAAAAAAUGUAUGCUUCAUUAGUAAUUAAAGAAAGGCAAAUAGAGCUGAAAGCAUUUUUCCCUUAGCAAGCCAUGACAGAAAAAAAUAAGACCCAAUAUUGGCAAAGAGACUACUGAAAAAACAUUCCCAUACAUUGCGUGUGGGAGUAUACAUCGGUGCAGGCUUCCUGGAUGACAGUUGGGUGAUAUGUGUCAUGUGGCCUAGAAGCCUCCAUGUCAUUUGACAUACGAAUUCUAUCUUUGAGAAUUUAUCCUA